RNAcentral lists this long non-coding RNA (617 nucleotides) under Olea europaea subsp. europaea. The record is from RNAcentral. Lineage: Eukaryota; Viridiplantae; Streptophyta; Magnoliopsida; Lamiales; Oleaceae.
UGUGAUGUCAAUCUGCUCAUCUUAAACAACUCUAAUGGCCAGCACUUACUAGUUACUCCUUUGGAUUGAUCCUAAUGUUGCUUGGUAAAGCACCUUGAGUCUUUUCAGGAAUAGCUCAGGCUAGCUGCUUUAUUUGAGUUUCCAAACUAUUGAUAGCUAUUGAAUAACAUUGAAGGAUUUUUUUUGGGUCUUUACCAUGAAUGGCUCUAUUUUCUACAUAUACUGAUUUGUUUUGUUCAUGAAUUCAUCCAACAUCUCCUCAAUAAAGUGUACUCUCUUGUUGAAAUCCAGCUAGAUAGAUUUGGUUCGUGAUUUCAUCCAAGUUUGUCUUCUCACCAAGAGUUUGGGUCGUGAAUUGUUCACUUUUCUUGUUUCGAGUUGGACAGUACAGAUCUCCAUACUUCAACUAGAGGAAUGGUAUUAGCCAAGACACAUGAUUGAACCAUUUAAGCUACCAAGACAUAUAGUUGCAUCAACACAAAUUACAUCAUUCAAGAUACUAGCGCAUGUUAUUGUACCAAUCAAGCCCCAAACAUCAAUGUAAUCAAUCUUUCCAUGUAUAGCAGUAUUUCUGUUCUACGUAUAUGCAGUAAUCCUUAUUUAAAUAUAUACAAUCA